Molecule: long non-coding RNA, 889 nt
Organism: Chenopodium quinoa (quinoa)
Lineage: Eukaryota; Viridiplantae; Streptophyta; Magnoliopsida; Caryophyllales; Amaranthaceae
Exons: 4
Source: RefSeq, a predicted model, not a curated record
AAUCACACAUAUUCUAUUCAUUUCCAUGCACUUUCUCUCUCCUCAACCAUUUUCUCUCUCCUCAAUUGCAAUGAGCUUUCUCUAUCAAAUUGGGUAUAAUUUGCUGCAAAAUCUUCUCGAUCUUGCUGAAAUUGCUUCAAAUUUGUCAAGAUCUUGUUGGAAAUUCAAUUUUUCUUGUUUAAUUUGGUGAAUUCAAGCCAAAUUUCUUCUACGACUCUGAAUUUUGAGUGGCAUUUGAGAUUUGACUGGAUUGUGCUGCAAAUAUCACUCGAUUUGAUAAUUCAGAACACGGUAAAGCUAUUAUUUACAUUAUAUGUCCGUGUUGCGGGGAGGCCCAGGAAACAAUAAUGUAUGCUCUUUUUUUAGUGUAGUGAAGCUCGGAUGAUACGGUCUAUGGACUCAAUUUGGAAAGCUUUCGGUGCAUGGUUUGUGUUUAAGGCAAGAGAAUUAAAGAAUGGAGAGGGCACUCCAGCAGGAGCGGGCGUGCACCCCUCAGGAGCGGGCGCUCCGAUCUUUCUGCCAACUUUCUGCCAAAGCUUCAAGAAUUGCACACCCUGUGAGGAGCGAGCGUGCAGCCUUGAGGAGCGGGCGCUUCUGGCUGUGGAGCGGGCGCUCCUCGCUGGGAAAUCUGUUUUCUUUGACGGAUUUCCCUAUGCGUUACGGGGAGUAUAAAUACUUCCUCCUUUAUUCAUUUGUAACCUAGACAGAUAUAGCCUAGUUUUUAGAGACUCCUCUUAGUUUGAAACAUUCCUUUUAAUUAAUUUAGCUUAAUUUUCAUCAAUUCAAUCAUUGUAAUAGUUGGUUUCAAGUUUGUUUCUCAAGAUUGGCACUUUGUAUUCAACAAUUUCAAGCCUCAAUUAGUAACUUCCUUCUACUUUUCUCCAUUUAA